Molecule: long non-coding RNA, 242 nt
Organism: Amblyraja radiata (thorny skate)
Lineage: Eukaryota; Metazoa; Chordata; Chondrichthyes; Rajiformes; Rajidae
Exons: 3
Source: RefSeq, a predicted model, not a curated record
AAAGAUAUCGCGGUACAGCCUUUAAUGCCUUCACUGGAACCGUCUGCCUGAGUUAGAGAUCAGAGAUCAGAGGGGAAUGAAGAGUUACAUAUUAAGCGUGACUGACUGAUACCUAGUGAAUGUUUGAGGUGAAUUGGCACUAAAAGUACUGGUGGCGAAAAGCAGCGCAGAAACUGGCCAUUCGGCCCGUCAAAUCUGUCCUGUUAUUUCCACUGACGUUAAUCCUGUAUCAAACACAAAGU